GAUAUCAUGAUAGCCUCUGUUUGAACACCUAUCGCAAUUGCUUGUAGAGAAUCUUGCGCGCAAACACGGUUUAUGUGAACAUACCGAACACUGUAUUAAACGUAUGUCACUCUGUUUUCCUUGAAAAAUUGGUUCACAGCGGUCAAAACAUGUUUAGCUAUGUUUCUUACCGUCCAAGAGAUGAUUUUAUCAGUCAUUAUCUGUAUGUAAUUACACAAACUAUCGUGUGGGAGAUUGCCGUAACAGUUAUAAUGAGUAUAUAAUUCCUUGUUACAUUUGAUGAUAAGAACCGUGCAUUGAAAUCAGGCGAAUCAGUUGAAAUACCGUGUGAUUUCAGUCCGGUGCUGGCUCACAAAUGAAUCUUAUUGGAUAGUUUUGUUUACACGCACCAUCAAUUCGAGGAGCUGCCUACGGCCACAAACCUGAAAGGAAAUACGUCAAUUCCAUGUCUACGUAAGAAGGAAAUCCUAUCAGACAAUAGGGAAAAAAAAUCUUUAUAUCAGCCGGUGGACUAGGCUUUCAUUGUGGAGUGUCGGUCAGUCAGGGAAACCAACAUUUUAAAUUAUAAUUAAUCUUUCAGUUUGCCUUCAUAAUUUAACGAAUUCUCAACUCAGUAAACAGACUAUACUUACAUGUUUGGCUUUACAAUCAACUCACAUCAAUUUCUCCUCUCCGUUUGAUCAAGUGGCUAUUGGAGCCUUAUCUCUUGCGAUUUUAUCGGCAGUAUAUUUUGGUACUCGGUUGAAUGAAAGAAAACGCAGGUCAUGAUCUGUCACAAUUUGAGGAAAAGUUAGUAAUGUUUGGUUUUGCAAUCAACUCACAUCGAUUUCUCCUCUCCAUUUGAUCAAGAGGCUAUUGGAGCCUUAUUUUUGUUGCGUUUUUUAUUGGCAGUAUAUUUUGGCAUUCGGACAUGCCCACUGAUUUGAAUGGGAGAAAACUCGAGGUCAUGGACUUUCACAAUUCAUGAUGUCAUCGGCACUUGACAAUAUUUACAUCAAGACAACUAACUAAAGCACGUACGAUGAAUAACUGACUUCAUGAUAAAUAAUUUUGUGCUUGUUGCGGUCAACUUAAGGAGUCUUCCUUCACCAUGACAUGUUUAGCGCUUGCGUUCAUUCGGAGUCAGUUUGAUGACUUCGCUUCAGGAGUCCCUGGGUGAACAUCGCGGCAGCUAGACAGUGUUAGCCACUUUUCAGUGAGUUUAAACGAUUCAGAAUCGAAUUGCUGAGCUGAUCUUCAAUUCAAGAGCUCUCUUGAGGAAACCUCUGAAAAAAUCUGCUUGGAUUUUGGCGGACCUGUGCUGACGGGUGUACUAGUGAAGUGCUGGCCUGCAGUGCUCUGAAGACGACUGUACUCGAAGCGGGAAGUCAUGGCAGCGGUGAUUUGCUUGGUUUUAUUGUUCAUCACCGCGUUUGGAUGCGGAUCUUGUGAAAGAUCAACGCAAUGUUUCGAGAGCUGUGUUUCUAAGAUUCCAGACGAACCUCAGCUUUGUAAUGACACUUGUCUUCAGUUGCUAAAUAUAUACUCAGGUUAGUGAGUACAAAGUCUACCGAGAAGAUUGUAAACUCAACGAUGAAGAUGAAGACCAAAGCACGUUUGUCAGUCUCAAGAUACAUGUGUUUACGUUAGUUUUAAAACUUUGCUUUGAACCUUCUGUAGCCAACAACAUCACUACCAACGUCACCACUGUAUCACCGCCGACACCAGAUGAACCUGUGUUGCUUUCAUCCGGGUACUUUACCUUCAACCUGGACUGGAGAAAUUACAAUGAAAUCAAAUACAACGCUUCGCCAGUUGUUUAUGUUCUGGAAGUUACUCGCCAUGAGAACAUCACUGACCCAUUUGUCAUCUUGCCCCUCAUACAGAAAUAUCACACGACGACAAACACGAAUUUCACCAUCCCGGAAGAAUUCGUCACCAAGACAAACUUCUCGUUCCGUUUGGCAGUGGUUGCACUCCAAGGGACUUCGAACUUCUCAUCACCAAGUCCUCUAUAUACAACAAACAGUAAGUU
This is a long non-coding RNA of Orbicella faveolata, 2014 nucleotides long. Lineage: Eukaryota; Metazoa; Cnidaria; Anthozoa; Scleractinia; Merulinidae. The record is from RefSeq and is a predicted model, not a curated record.